Molecule: long non-coding RNA, 4413 nt
Filed under: Homo sapiens (human)
Lineage: Eukaryota; Metazoa; Chordata; Mammalia; Primates; Hominidae
Description: JAKMIP3 antisense RNA 1, transcript variant 4 (JAKMIP3-AS1)
Source: RNAcentral
GCAGGGUCUGAUCUCUGCACCCCGGGCCCCCGCGCAGACCCGCGGACGAGCGCUGGGUGGGGAUUUCAACCUGCUCCAGCUGAUGUGCGCGGGGUUUGCACCCCGGGGAGGCGAGGGAGAGAGUCCGGCCACGUCCUGCCAGGCCCCGCCCGCGCCCCCGCUGCCCUCCAGCGCGGAACCCAGGUCCCAGGAGACGCGAGGCGCCCAAGGCCCCGGGAUUCCGAGCCAGUCAACCCCGGGCCGCGACGCUCUGGGAACCACACCCGUCCAGGAAGGCACCUUGGCCAAAGCCGGCUCCUUCGCAGAUGACCCGGGCCAGGGUCCGAGCGCCAGGCUGUGACCCCGCGAGGCUGUUCCACGCUGGCCGCGAGAGACGGAGGGCAGGAGGGGCCCGAAUAGGACAGAGAGAGAGAGAGAGAGAGACAGAAGGAGGCGCACGCGCUCCCCAGGGACCGGGACGCGGUGGUGGGCGGGACCUCGCGGGGGUGGGGGGUGGUCGCAGGACCCAGAAGGCUCAGGACCUUUACGGAUAGGGAGGACCCCGCAGGGGGGAGCGGGGGAGCCCCACGCCCGGCGUCCUCCGGGUGCGAGGGUCUCGGGGAGUCCGAGCCCGGGCCCACGGCCUCUGUCCCGCGGCCACUACCUGCUGGGGGUCCCGGGCCUGGGCCACGCCGGGCUGCCCUCGGGGACUUGCUGCGGCCGUUGAGGGGUCUCCGCGCGCCGCGCAGACUCGCCUCCCAACCCGAGGGCCCGGGCGGCCGCCGCCCAGAGCGUCCAGCGGCAGCGUCUUGCUCUCGAAGGCGUCCUCCACGCAGCGGAACACGCAGCCAAGCUUGGGCCGGGCCAGAGGCCUCGCGGGCUCCUGAGGCUGCCGCGCGGUCACGGCAGGAGCGGGCGACAGAAUCCGGUCUCGGAGCCUCCUGUAGCGAGGUCUGCGCGGCAGGUGCACUGGGCGGACCUGGAGGCCGCGCCCUCCCCCCCCGCCUCCUGCCGCCCGGCAGCGCUGCGCGGAGCUGGCUCUGUCCACGUAGCGGGUGCUGAACGCCCCAUUCUGGCCCCUGGGUGCUCGCUUAGUCCCGGCCACGCGUGGCUGCUCGCCCUCGGGACACACUGGGCGCUGGGAAGGCCGGGCGGGGAGCGCGCACCGGAGAAACCGCUGUGGGAAUCCCGGCCACAUUUCCAGGCCCCUUGGGCCGUCCCACGCCAGACAAGAAAGCCCUGACUCCGAAACCCUGGGCGAGUGUGGAGGGCGCGCGGGGGUGGGGUGUACCCGCCCACGCAAACUGCUGCUGAUCUCCCUUAAAGCCGAGUUAGAGGCUUGGGGCGAGACAGGAGUGACGGGCGAUGCUGUCACUCCAUCUGUCAUUCUACCCAGCCUGCAGCAGCUGAAUUCGAACCCAGAGACUUCAGGCCUUUGCGUUGUUACCGCAGUCCGCAUUUCAAAGCCAGAGUUUGGCCACUGAGUCACCAUGACCUCGAGUACUGGCGGGGCCCGAGCCAGCAGAGCUAGGUCCAGCAGCUUCCCACCCCUUCGUCCUCCUCUGGGCUCCCCCUCCCCUAAAUGAUUAAUGCAAUGUCUGUUACUCACCUGUGUGGGACCGUCCACGGCAAAUAUCACCAACUGUUCUUAUGCACGUGCAGAAGUUCCGUCCCUUUCCUAACUGUCUGAUCUCUUCCAUGGUUCACAUUUGACCAACAGCCACAGGAGGGAGCCUCCCAGGUGGUCGACCGGAGCCAGGUGCUGCCAGGCACCCGACUGCAGAGCUUGCCCUCCAGGUGAUCUCGCAGUAUCGGUGUUCACAAGCCCUGUAAGGCACUCGGGGUAUCCUGAAGGCUACAGAUUCUGCAAGGGCAGAGACUUUAAGGAACAGCCAUAGUCCUUCUCCAGCUCAAAAUCUGGACCAUGGGCACAAGGUUGUCCCGGAACCAUCGAUCUCUAGAAGGUACAGGAGGAAGGGGACCUGCCAGUCCAGCCCUCAUAUUUUACAGAGGGAAAAGGUCGGGGCCCCCAGCCCCACGGGCACGAAGGCACCAGAACCUCGCUAAAAGCUGCAGGGCAGAACCCUCAUCAAUACCACCAUGGGUACCACGUGCAGACGUAGUCGUACAUAUGGAUCAGGAAACAGCAUUCUGAUUGAUGUCAAAACAGAGCCGGAGGAACAGGCCCCUGCCGUCUGUGUGUGCUGGAAAUUUCCACUGGGAUCUCAACUGUUUGGAAACAUAACUCAGUUGGCAAGGAAGACAAGAACCUUCCUGGGGUCCGGAACUCUGCCUGCUUCAGAAUCAACAGAUGAUGAAUGCCACUGGAAGGCUCGGGACCUACAGCCUCAGUUUCCAAAAAUGUGCAUGAGACAAGCAACCCCAGGGUUCUCACACAGGGUGAGCCGCUUGGGAGGGGGUGAGACCCUGCAGUCUGGAUCCUUGCUCUUCCCCAACACCGCCCCACAAAUACACAGAUUCCCAGCUGAUAGGACAUGGAGUGAGGGCCAAGCACAGGACCUUUCCCCAUAUGCUCUUUUGUCUGAGAAACUUUAGCCAAACAUUUUCAAACCAAACAGAAACAAAUGGCAGCCACUAACUCUGCUCACAGUCAAGGUAUUUUUUUCUUGAAGCUCUGAUUUGGGGAAAAUAUGAAACAGACCUUACCCAGACACAGGCUGUGCCUCCUCCUCCCUCUUCCUCCUCUACCCCCUUCAUGGGGUCUCUCUCAACUCUACAGAGGGGACCAGUGCUGUUAUCAACUCCCUGUCUGCCCAGGGCCGCCUCUGAGGUCAUCCUCUCCCCAGCCACCACGGCGGAGCCCCAUGUGGCUCACACGGAUGCUGGAAUGGUCCUCCCAUCCUGGGACAGUCCUCAGGCACGUGGUGCUCUGCUCUGGGUCACCCUCCUACUGAUUUUGGCUCUACAGCUCCCUAAUAAAUAAUAAAGGCAGAAGCCACUUUGAUGGUGCAGGUGGCAGGUGGGACAGUGAAGUGGGUGCACAGAAGCGGGUGCACAGGAGCAGGUUCACACACAACCAAAUGCACAGUGUGCACAGACACACACACUACCCAGGGCACAAGAGCAGGUGCACACAUACACGCACACUACCCAGGGCACAGGAGCAGGUGCACACACACAACCAAAUGCACAGUGUGCACACACACGCACUACCCAGGGCACAAGAGCAGGUGCACACACACGCACACUACCCAGGGCACAGGAGCAGGUGCGCACGCACAACCAAAUGCACAGUGUGCACACACACGCACACUACCCAGGACACAGGAGCAGGUGCACACACACCACCAAAUGCAGUGUGCACACACACACACUACCCAGGGCACAAGAGCAGAUGCACACACACCACGGCCAAAUGCACAGUGUGGACACACACACGCACACUACCCAGGACACAGGAGCAAGUGUAUACACACCAUGGCCAAAUGCACAGUGUGCACAGACAUGCACCCUACCCAGGGCACAGGAGCAGGUGCGCACACACGACCAAAUGCACAGUGUGCACACACACACACACUACCCAGGGCACAGGAGCAGGUGUAUACACACCACGACCAAAUGCACAGUGUGCACACACACAUGCACACUACCCAGGGCACAGGAGCAAGUGUAUACACACCAUGACCAAAUGCACAGGCACACUCCCCCCACACACUGGCAUGUGUGCACACACGUGCGCACACUUUCUGCCUGUUCUCCAUGGGUUCCUGGUUUCAUUUUGUAUCUGGUGGCGGCAGCUGUUCUCACAGGCCUCCACAGCGAUGCCCAGCUACCCUUUCUGAAAUCGGCUUCUCUAAUAAUGACAUCCCCUAUUAACGGCCCCAUGGCCAGGCUAGUAAAAGGAUCCAUUAUUGCUUUAACCAAGAUGGUUGCAUUAUAGAUUGCAAGACAGCUGGCCCGCAGGCUGUAAGCUGCUGGCUGAAAAGAAUAAAUUAGACAAUAGAGCAAUAAAGCGGGGAGGGGGACUCAUGGUUUCAAGUCAGUCGUUCAGUUUCUGAGAUUUUGUGCAAAUCACCCAGUAACAUUUGAGAAACACCUUCGCCCUUGGUAAAAACAGAAAGAUUCUAAACAAAGAGCAAAGAGAAAUAGCUCCAAAGCCAAUAGGAACCAGAAAAGAGGUUGGCAUCAUCUCCCAAAGUCGAAGAUUCCAACUCCUAAUGUGACCCAUGAGGAGUCGCGGCACCAGCGCAUCCGGAGACUCCACAGGAAUGUUCAAGAAGCAGCACUCGUAACAAGCAGAAGCCUGGAAAUAACCAAAUGUCCACCAGAGGGGAGGUAAAGCCCCAGCACGAGGUCACAGAUUGGAGGGUGCACAUGGCUGAAUCCCUGCAGAGUGAUUCCAAGCACAAACACCCAAAAAAAUGCCCGUUAACAAAGAUUUCAAACACAAUUAAAGAGUCUGCCUUUUGGAAA